Long non-coding RNA from Chroicocephalus ridibundus (black-headed gull), 3202 nucleotides. RefSeq lists it as uncharacterized. NCBI's taxonomy places the organism in Eukaryota, Metazoa, Chordata, Aves, Charadriiformes, Laridae. The record is from RefSeq and is a predicted model, not a curated record. The transcript is spliced from 8 exons.
GAGGACUUUGUGCAAGUUGCCAGUGACGGUGCAAGUUGCCAGAAGACUUCAGAGCUGUAUACUAAAGGUUACAGCCGUAAUGUUGGGGGAGCAUGCCUACAAACAUGUUUGGGGAUCACUGAAGUACCCUUCAGACUACCCAGAGCGGGAUCUCUGCGCAGCUGGCUGCUUAAAUGGGCUUUUCAUUCGGUUUGCCGGCUGAGCGGCGAAGAAGCCAUCGCAGGAUGCCACGUGGGAAGAAGGAAGCUUCACCUGAGACCUGAGCAUCUAAACGCCAUCAAAGUGACAACGACGGGACUGCUUCUCUCUUUGCCUUGUGCCCUGUGCGUGAUGAUGUGUGUGAGCGUCACCGGUGUGGGAUUCCUGGGAACUGCAUGAUGCUCCAAGAAGCGGUGCUAUGACUGCAUGGAAUGUGAUGCAAAGCAUGGAGACGGUAGAGGAGGUUUUCUUGGAAGCCCUGAGGUUGGCAUCACUGGUACUUAGAAGUUGAGGUUAAACAUCUGUAAGGAAGCCUGUAAUGUACUCAUGAACUUUUCAGCCAGUGAAUUGUGCUGGGCAGAAGACAGCAAGAACAUGUGAAUUGAAAUUAGAGCUUUUCAGGUGUUAGGCUAUCUAGAAGCUUUUCAUCUGCUGGCACAAAUUUGAACAGUCUGAAAAUUCCUCCACGUUAUAUCCUAAGGACGGAGACACGGCAGCCUGCUCCGUGGGUUAGAGAUAGCAAGAGUGCAAGGCCGUCACGGUAUUACACUUAUUAUUUCAGACAAGUCCCCUCCACAGAGUCACUCCAAAGAAACGCGGAGCUGGAUUUCUCUGGUUCCCUGGUGGCACAGCUUCUGGGCUGAUGAACAGUGUACAAUGAGAAGAAAGAAGCCGAAACCCCACGUCUAUUUUUUUUGUUUAAUGAACUCUCGGUAACUUGGAGCGCGUUACAGUUUUUACUGCUCGAGAAGAGCAGCGUUGCCUGUUAAAGGCACUUCAUGAAAACUGUGUGUUCAUUCCAGGAAUUACGACUGAACACAAGUGGCACUUGCCAGUUUCAGGAAGGGAUUCAAUUUGUUUGGACCUGGCCCUUCUGACUGCUGAUAAUGAGACAUCUCAUCAUCCCCCGGUUCAUUUACCGCUUCAAUCCCAAAUGAAUCAUAACCAACGCCAAAAAGGAGGAACUCUUGGAUGGGAGGGCAGCAAGAGGAAAGCCAUUUCAAUGGAAAGAUGCAAGAGUGGAACGUAUUAUUUUGCAGAAUAAGUACACUGAGAUGUUUGACAAAGUACAUAUAGUACAAUACCCAGAUGAACUUAAUCUAUUAUGCAGCUCUGAGAUAUAGGGCAUCUGUUAGGCUGAGCUGUGAGGUUGCAAUGUUACUUCUGUUGCUAAAGCUAUUACAGUCUUCAUGUACAAAUCUAGCCAAGUCCAUCUGAAUAUGAACCAUAUUUGAAAAUUGUGUUUCUAUGUAAAGGAGCUCUGCCUAAAUUAGGCUAUUUGCAAACAGAAGUAGCUAAAGGUAACACAAGAGAACUAGAAAAUCCUGUGCUAAAUGUCACUUUUCCUGACUUUAUAUUUUUAUCCUUUUCUGAUUUUAAUUCCAGAUUCCAACCAGGUAGGUCAGGUGGAAAUCAGGCACUGCUUGAUGCUUGACUUGUGUGACUGCCAGUUCUCCUUAAAGUCCCCAGAGCAUGUUUUUACACCACCAGGUCAUUAUUUUUAAUAGAAAACUGUUCUGGUGGAUAGUGGAACUGUACUUCAGUUCCUUACCAGCGUUUCUGGAGAGGGAUACUGACAGUUUUUGGAAAGUGCUUUGGUAGAGUCACAAAGAUGCUGCGUAAGUGCAAAAGAAGUCAGUUGAAAUAUUUUUCUAGACAAAACUCCCCUUCCAUACAUGUUGAAUUUGGUUGCUAAUUGGUAAAUAUUUAUCAUUAUUUUUUCUGUGCCUGGAUUAUUUGCUUUGUCCCCCUCAUAAAAACUAUAUACAACUCUAAUUUUCAGUUUCUUGUAACUGUAUUUACUGCAUUUUUCUUGUGGACUGAAUAGCUAAGGUAGGAGCUGUUCCUGUUUUUCAAGUAUUCUGCUCAUGUUAGAAAUUUAUCACCUUGAUGCAGCCAGUUUGUUAUCCUUGCUAUGUAUAAAUACUUUCUGCCACUAUCAAUGACUGUACUAGACUGUAGUCUUUAAAGAGUUUUCAGUGUCUGCAACCCAGAGCUUAGCUGCAUCAGAAACAUUUUAUAGUGACUAAAACUUCAUGACUGUCAGGAACAAGAGAAAAGUAAUUAAGUAAAUGAAAUGUCAGUUGUUGCUUUAGACAUAAAAUCAAUCCUUUUUGCAGGAAAUCUCUUCCAAAUUUUGGCCUUUGCAGCAUCAGGCAAUUAUCAGUCUUGUGAUCCUGAUUUAGGCCGUUGCCUCGGGGAAGUCGAUAGGUCAAAUUUCACUACUCUUCUCGUUGACGUGCUGAACCUAAGUGGAAGAGAGACAUUCAUUUCUAUUAUGAAACAAAAAAACCCACCCUGGUUUUGUGGAGGAGUUCUGGCCAUUGAAGUGUUGAAGAAGCUAUAAGAAGGUGUGUGGACCCUGAACCCUUUUUGCCUGGCAGUUCUGCUCAGCAGCUUCCGAUAACGCUUGGCCAUUACGCAGAAAUUGUUCUCUAGAGUGGCCAAAAGGAAGGAGGUAAUACUGCCGGUGUGGAGUCUUGCUCAAAUGGAAAGGCCAAAAAAGCUGCAUUUGAAUAGCUGGGCUCUGAAAAGAAUGGAAGGAUGGACUUCUCUAGGAUGGACUAUGCCCCUUGUACAGCUGUGAAUAAAGCAGUCCAACAUUUGUGCUCCUAAGGGAACUUAUGAACAACAUUACAACGUGGGAGUGCAAGAUAAAAAAAUAUCUGCUGGCUUCACCAGGCUAUUGUACUUCAAUUUUUGCUUAAAAUCAAACACCUAAGUUAAGUAAAUUUAGACCACUUGAAAGUCUUCCAAGUGCUACAGUGUUCAAAGAGUAGAUUGGGGAUGUCAAAUUAUUUUUACACAGUAAGUUAACUAAUUGAAAUCUAACAGUACUUCAUUACUUUGUGAUUAUUUUUUACAAGGAAACAGAAAAUGCGUUUGUAGUUGCCUGUAUUUUGAAUACAGCAAAAAUCCUGUAAUUUGAGUCCUGUUGGUAGCAGUUAUCAGAAUCCUCUUAUGCAAUUGUUCAUGUCUAUUUUGUAAGCUGUGUUCAAACUUG